Molecule: ribosomal RNA, 643 nt
Filed under: uncultured bacterium
Lineage: Bacteria
Description: bacterial SSU rRNA
Rfam family: Bacterial small subunit ribosomal RNA
Source: RNAcentral
GGCGGACGGGUGAGUAACACGUGGGCAACCUGCCCGAAAGACCGGGAUAACAUCCGGAAACGGAUGCUAAUACCGGAUAAGCGGACCUUUCGCAUGAAGGGUUCGGGAAAGACGGGGCAACCUGUCACUUUCGGAUGGGCCCGCGGCGCAUUAGCUGGUUGGCGGGGUAACGGCCCACCAAGGCGACGAUGCGUAGCCGACCUGAGAGGGUGAACGGCCACACUGGGACUGAGACAUGGCCCAGACUCCUACGGGAGGCAGCAGUAGGGAACCUUCCGCAAUGGACGAAAGUCUGACGGAGCAACGCCGCGUGAGUGAGGAAGGUCUUCGGAUCGUAAAGCUCUGUUGCCAGGGAAGAAUCCCCUGGGGAGUCACUGCCCCGGGGUUGACGGUACCUGAGAAGAAAGCCCCGGCUAACUACGUGCCAGCAGCCGCGGUAAUACGUAGGGGGCGAGCGUUGUCCGGAAUUAUUGGGCGUAAAGCGCGCGCAGGCGGUUUUGUAAGUCCGAUUGUUUAAACCCGGGGCUCAACCUCGGGUCGCAAGGGAAACUGCAAGACUUGAGUGCAGGAGAGGGAAGCGGAAUUCCAUGUGUAGCGGUGAAAUGCGUAGAGAUAUGGAGGAACACCAGUGGCGAAGGCGGCU